CAUUCUAAGCGGUGGAUCACUAGGCUCGUGGGUCGAUGAAGAACGGGGCCAGCCCCGAGAAUAAGUGCGAAUUGCAGACACAAAGAACAUUGAUACUUCGAACGCAUAUUGCGGUAUCGGGCCAGCUCGAUACCACGCCUGUCUGAGGGUCGAAUGCGUGUAACGUGUUCGAAGGACAUCGAUUAUGGAGACAGACAGUCGAUUAGUCGUGUUGUGUGUCCUGUUGGAGUGAAAUAAAAAAAUGGACUCCAGACGCUAGAAUGUGCGAGCGUCAUCGAGUCGUAAGGUUAUCGAACUCAAGAUGUUGGCGAACGAAUGCGAACGCGAGAGUGCGUAUAACCAGAGUCGAGCUCGAGAAUAUUGAGAGCGCGAUGUUUCGUCCAUUCGCCCGUUUAGAAUAUAUAUACGUCCGUUGCGUUGCCGCGUCGUCGUUGGCCCGGUGUGAAUAAAGACGCUGGGCGUUUAAGCGUAGGCGAAUAGGAUCUCUCGAAAUUUGACCUCAGAUUAGACGUGAAAACCCGCUGAAUUUAAGCAUAUAAUUAGGCGGAGGAAAAGAAAUUAACGAAGAUUUCCCGAGUAACGGCGAGUGAAAAGGAAAUAGUUCAGCGCCGAAUCCGUCGGCCGUUGGUCGACGGACCUGUGGCGUGAAGGAGAGCCUAUCCGACGGGUUCUACGCCUCGGAAGCGCCCUCGAACGGGACCCCGAAGCAGGUGCGAGGCCUGUAACGAGGCGAGGCUCGUCGGUUUGCGUUCUCCGUAGAGUCGGGUUGCUUGAGAGUGCAGCCCUAAGCGGAAGGUAAACCCCUUCUAAAGCUAAAUAUGACCACGAGACCGAUAGCGAACAAGUACCGCGAGGGAAAGUUGAAAAGAACUUUGAAGAGAGAGUUCAAGAGGGCGUGAAACCGCUUAGAAGAAA
This 915-nucleotide unclassified non-coding RNA is filed under the name uncultured soil eukaryote. RNAcentral describes it as "sequence contains 5.8S rRNA gene, ITS2, 28S rRNA gene". The stretch from base 495 to 915 matches the Rfam family "Eukaryotic large subunit ribosomal RNA", at positions 1 to 418 of the family's 3401-position model. The record is from RNAcentral.